This 2041-nucleotide long non-coding RNA is filed under the name Monodelphis domestica (gray short-tailed opossum). Its description in RNAcentral is "lncRNA (ENSMODG00000044703.1)". The record is from RNAcentral. Lineage: Eukaryota; Metazoa; Chordata; Mammalia; Didelphimorphia; Didelphidae.
GCUAAUUAGUAAAAAAAAUAAUCUGUGUUGCUUAGUGGAUCUUCCUAAAAGGAUUUGCAAAGGGUUUAAUGUAAAUAAUAAGUUCUUCUCUUCUAAAAGAAUGCCAAAGGAAGCAGUGUGGUAAGGCUACUAAAGUUUUUUGCAUUCCUGGGUGAGCUUGUGUCCUCCCACCCCCAGGUCUGCAAGAGGUUUUCUGAUCUUAACAAAAGCAAAAACAAACUCUUGCAUAUUGUUUUCCAGAGAGCAUAAAAUCAAAUUUUCCACCCCAAUUAACACUGUCUUUAUAAACCCAGUAGCAUCUCUGAUAAUUCAAGUAAACGGCAGGGUUGAGCUUUUUUUCCCCUUUAUUUGUUUAGAAAUGAAAUAUUGGGUUUUGGAAAUGUACACGAUGUGAUUAGAUUCUGCCAUGCUUAACACUGCUUAACAUUAUCACUGCUUAAGAAUGUAUUAAGAGUUCUUGAUCAUGCAGUCCAUGGCUCUAUAAGUCCAUCCAUAAUAUCAUUUUUUAAGCUCAGACAUUUAGAUCUGGAAGGAACAAUGAAGGUAAUGUAGUUCCUCAUUUUACAGAUGAGAAGCCUGGGUCCUUAAAGAAAUGAAGUAUCCCAUCCAAGAUUAUCAAGCUCUUAGUUUGUCACUGUUCCCCUCUGAGGUUCCUCCAUGGGCUCUGAGGGCUCAUGAUGGGAUUAUGUUCAGCUGGUUUGGGCCAAAUGAGCCCUGAAGCAAAAAAACUCCUCCUCCACAAUCUGUGUUGAAUACCCAGAGACUGACCAGGUUGCUUUCAAGGUAAGCCCUUCUAAGUAACCCCUUUGCCAGUCAUGAGGUUUCUGUCUUUUCAGAAGUUCUGAGGGCUCAUGAUAGGAUUGGGUUCAGCUAGUUCCCUAAAGCUGGAAACUCCCUUGAGACUCAGAUGGAAGGACCCAGCCAAGGGGCUACAGGCUUCCCCCUUCUCUCUAUGUUUCCCUGCCAUCUGUGUUGGGAGCCCCAGAAACUGGCUCAGGUUGCUUUCAAGAUCACCUAUGAGGAGGAACACAAAUGAGAGACAUCAGGGACCUGCUUCUGGGAGAAGAUAUUCUACACUCUCAGACCUAGUGGAUGGGACCAGCCUCUUUCCACUGACUGUGUAACCAGAACCAGAUGCAUCUUUAAAAGUAUCACACUGGGAAAGUCUUGUUCUCUCCUUCUGGCACCAUCUUGAUCUGGUAAAUGUCUUGUUCAUAUGCAGCAUGGACACCAUGCACUAAAUUUAUUGGGGGGAAAGCUACCCUCCACCUCUCCCUUUAAGCUUGCUGAUGACCCCAAGAAAUGAGCUUGGAAUUGUAAUCUUUCUGAUUUAUACUUUUUUUCAGCUCCAGGUGCAGAUAGUGGGCCUAAGACCUGGAAGCUCAAGCCAUGAAGACCAUUUCUUUAAGGAGCACUUUGUAAUUUAAUCCAUAUAAUAUUUUGUGUAUUUUUGUAGGUUGGUUGUCAAAUACUUCAUGCAUUUUGGAGUUAUUUUAGAAUGGAAUUUCCCUGUCUAUUAUUGCCUCUUGGAUUUUAUUACAAAGAAAUUCUAUUGAUAUUUGAGGGCAUGUUUUAUAUAGUCUCCAAUUGAGCAAAAGCUGUUAAUUGUCUCAAUUAUUUUUAUGUUGAUUUCCACAAUUUUCUAGGUAAACCAUCAUAGAUCUGGAAAAUAGGGCUAGUUUUAUCUCCUAUUUACCUCUCUUUAUGCCUUUAAUUUCUAUUGUCUUAUUAGAACUAUAUAGAAUAAUACUGAGGAGAGUGAGUGUCCUUAUUCUACUCCUAUACUAUUGGAGAAAUUUCUAUAGUAUGUAUCCCCAUUGUGAAUGAUGAUUACUUUUGGUCUUAGAGAGAUAUUUUUUAUAAUAGUAAAAAUGAUCUCUCUCCCUAUAAUUUAAAGGAAAUUUUAGCAUAAAAGCGAACAGUAUUUUAUACAGUUUCUUCCUCCCUCAACCACAUCUAUUGAAAUAAUAAUACAGCUUUGGAUGUUUUUGUUUUUCAUGUAAUUAUAUUAUUUUCCUAAUAAAUAAUAAUGCAUACCUCA